CGGCGCGAUUCGCCCUUGAGUUUGAUCCUGGCUCAGGACGAACGCUGGCGGCACGCCUAACACAUGCAAGUCGAACGGAGAUAUUUUGGUUUACUGAGAUAUCUUAGUGGCGGACGGGUGAGUAACACGUGAGCAACCUGCCUCUGAGAGAGGGAUAGCUUCUGGAAACGGAUGGUAAUACCUCAUAACAUAACGAAGCCGCAUGACUUUGUUAUCAAAGAUUUAUCACUCAGAGAUGGGCUCGCGUCUGAUUAGAUAGUUGGUGAGGUAACGGCUCACCAAGUCGACGAUCAGUAGCCGGACUGAGAGGUUGAACGGCCACAUUGGGACUGAGACACGGCCCAGACUCCUACGGGAGGCAGCAGUGGGGAAUAUUGCACAAUGGGGGAAACCCUGAUGCAGCGAUGCCGCGUGGAGGAAGAAGGUUUUCGGACUGUAAACUCCUGUCUUAAAGGACGAUAAUGACGGUACUUUAGGAGGAAGCUCCGGCUAACUACGUGCCAGCAGCCGCGGUAAUACGUAGGGAGCGAGCGUUGUCCGGAAUUACUGGGUGUAAAGGGAGCGUAGGCGGGAUGGCAAGUCAGAUGUGAAAACUAUGGGCUCAACCCAUAGACUGCAUUUGAAACUGUUGUUCUUGAGUGAAGUAGAGGUAAGCGGAAUUCCUGGUGUAGCGGUGAAAUGCGUAGAUAUCAGGAGGAACAUCGGUGGCGAAGGCGGCUUACUGGGCUUUUACUGACGCUGAGGCUCGAAAAGCGUGGGGAGCAAACAGAAUUASAUACCCUGGUAGUCCACGCUGUAAACGAUGAUUACUAGGUGUGGGGGGRACUGACCCCUUCCGUGCCRCRKWUAMACAUAWKUAAUCCACCUGGGGAG
RNAcentral lists this ribosomal RNA (873 nucleotides) under uncultured Bacillota bacterium. RNAcentral describes it as "bacterial SSU rRNA". The record is from RNAcentral. Lineage: Bacteria; Bacillati; Bacillota.